GUCUACGGCCAUACCACCCUGAACGCGCCCGAUCUCGUCUGAUCUCGGAAGCUAAGCAGGGUCGGGCCUGGUUAGUACUUGGAUGGAAAUGCUCAUUUUAAAAGGGUAUUUAAAAUC
This 117-nucleotide ribosomal RNA is filed under the name Mus spicilegus (steppe mouse). The record is from RNAcentral. Lineage: Eukaryota; Metazoa; Chordata; Mammalia; Rodentia; Muridae.